CCAACUACGGGCCAGGAUGCGGGGUAAGACGUAGGGGGCUAGGGUGGGCCGGAUUCAUGGGGCGGAAAGUGCUCGUAGGCGGCUUACUAAGUCGAGUGUGAAACCGCCAGGCUCAACCUGGAGCCUGCACUUGAUACUGGUAUGGGUUGAGUCCGGUAGGGGACCACGGAAUUCCUGGUGUAGCGGUGAAAUGCGCAGAUAUCAGGAGGAACACCGGUGGCGAAGGCGGUGGUCUGGGCCGGCACUGACGCUGAGGAGCGAAAGCGUGGGGAGCGAACAGGAUUAGAUACCCGUGUAGUC
Molecule: ribosomal RNA, 300 nt
Filed under: uncultured Hydrogenobacter sp.
Lineage: Bacteria; Pseudomonadati; Aquificota; Aquificia; Aquificales; Aquificaceae
Description: bacterial SSU rRNA
Rfam family: Bacterial small subunit ribosomal RNA
Source: RNAcentral